This 562-nucleotide small RNA is filed under the name Pan troglodytes (chimpanzee). RNAcentral describes it as "processed transcript". The record is from RNAcentral. Lineage: Eukaryota; Metazoa; Chordata; Mammalia; Primates; Hominidae.
GUUUCUCAGGGAACUCCCUGGGGUUGGCCGGUACCAUGGAGGAGGAUUGUCUUCAGCGUGCAGGGCCAGCGUCCUACGGCAGUUUCACUCUGAGCCUGUGUCUGGAUCACGGAGACGCGGGGUAGCGGUUCGGAGUGCGAAGCAGGGAUGUCCCCGAGCUGUGCAGCUGCAAGAACCCGAAAAAACAGGCGCCAUCUUCUCGGCGCGGUCCUACUCCGGACUGUAUUUCCCAGAGGCCCCCGCGAGUCCAGGGCAGCCCCUUCAUUUGCCUGCUGGACCCUCGGCCUCAAGGGUAGGGGAAGUGCGCGGUGAGCGGCCUGGGUCUUGCGGGCUCAGCUGGGGCCCGCAGAUAGUAGCUGUAGAUCCAAAAUGACCUCUGAUCCGCUUAGUCUGGGCCACAAGAAAGGCCUGGCAUCUCAUCAUUCCUUUCUUCUUCAGCUCUGCUCUCCUCAAGAGAGUUACCCAGAGGAAGAAUGGCUGUUGACCAAACCAAAUACAAGACAGAGUCUCACUCUGUUGCCCAAGCUGGAGUGCAGUGGCAUGAUCUCAGCUCACUGCAGCC